This 472-nucleotide ribosomal RNA is filed under the name uncultured bacterium. Its description in RNAcentral is "bacterial SSU rRNA". It matches the Rfam family "Bacterial small subunit ribosomal RNA", at positions 8 to 524 of the family's 1533-position model. The record is from RNAcentral.
AGAGUUUGAUCCUGGCUCAGAGCGAACGCUGGCGGCAGGCUUAACACAUGCAAGUCGAACGGGCGUAGCAAUACGUCAGUGGCAGACGGGUGAGUAACGCGUGGGAACGUACCUUUUGGUUCGGAACAACACAGGGAAACUUGUGCUAAUACCGGACAAGCCCUUACGGGGAAAGAUUUAUCGCCGAAAGAUCGGCCCGCGUCUGAUUAGCUAGUUGGUGAGGUAAUGGCUCACCAAGGCGACGAUCAGUAGCUGGUCUGAGAGGAUGAUCAGCCACAUUGGGACUGAGACACGGCCCAAACUCCUACGGGAGGCAGCAGUGGGGAAUAUUGGACAAUGGGGGCAACCCUGAUCCAGCCAUGCCGCGUGAGUGAUGAAGGCCCUAGGGUUGUAAAGCUCUUUUGUGCGGGAAGAUAAUGACGGUACCGCAAGAAUAAGCCCCGGCUAACUUCGUGCCAGCAGCCGCGGUAAU